This is a non-coding RNA of Pimephales promelas (fathead minnow), 597 nucleotides long. The record is from RefSeq and is a predicted model, not a curated record. NCBI's taxonomy places the organism in Eukaryota, Metazoa, Chordata, Actinopteri, Cypriniformes, Leuciscidae.
UAACCGGACGCGUCCUCGCGAGUUCGUUCUCCUGAGUCGUUGGCCCGAACUACCAAGUUCGAACCAACUGCCAAGGACGCAAGUCCGAAGUUAAAUAAAACGGGUGAAUUCUGGGAAAACGGAACCUGACUCGACUGAGCACCCCAAUCAAGUGUGCAUGCUUUCACUUUCACUUUCACUCGGCAGCAGCAGCAUUAUUCUCUAAGAUAGCGUGUCUGGUAAUGACUCAGAAUAACAAAUUUAACGAUGGGAGGAGCCUUAGCCCAACUGAAUUGUGCAGUUUAAAUAAAGAUCCGUAGCCUAGCCUACUUUAAAAACAAAUCUCUUCGCUAACGUUGCAGUCUCCUUGCUCCAAAUCACUUUCAAGAGUCAUGGCGUGUGGAGGGCUCAUGUCCGCCCCGGUGUGUCUCAUUGAAAAUGAUGAGAAUGGGAAGCUGUGUGUUAGAAAACAGGCUAAAGAUAUUCUGGAUGGGAUCAAGGAGCCGGUGGUGGUGGUGUCUGUGGUGGGACUCUACCGUACGGGGAAAUCCUACCUUAUGAACCGCCUGGCAGGACAACAGUCCGGUGAGAGAAAAAUGUUAUCCAAGAUAGGCUACU